Lacerta agilis (Sand lizard) is the source of this 190-nucleotide long non-coding RNA. RefSeq lists it as uncharacterized. NCBI's taxonomy places the organism in Eukaryota, Metazoa, Chordata, Lepidosauria, Squamata, Lacertidae. The record is from RefSeq and is a predicted model, not a curated record. The transcript has 2 exons.
UCCGGUGUGCUUUGGAAUUGUUGCUGUUCGUUUCACAGACGAGGAGUGGGCGUUGCUGGAUCCUGACCAGAGAGCUCUGCACAAGGACGUCAUGGAGGAGAUUUGUGGGAUCGUGGCCUCUCUUGAUUGUGAUGAACUGGAAAUCGAGAACAAGGGUGACCACAACAAAAUCCCCAGAGAGGAGAAGCCA